GAUGAACGCUGGCGGCGUGCCUAAUACAUGCAAGUCGAGCGAAGAGAUGAGGAGCUUUGUCCUCUGACGUUAUAGGCGGAAGGGGGAGUAACACGUGGAAAACCUACCUAUAAGAGUGGGAGAACACCGGGAAAAAGGAGCGAAUACAGGAUAAAAGAUUGAACCGCAUGGUUCAAGAGUGAAAGACGGUGUUGCUUUCACUUAUGGAUGGAUCCGCGCCGGAUUAGCUAGUUGGUAAGGUAACGGGUUACCAAGGCAACGAUGAGGAGCCGACCUGGGAGGGUGACCGGCCACACUGGACCUGAGCCACGGUCCAGACUCCUACGGGAGGCAGCAGUAGGGAAUCUUCCGCAAUGGGCGAAAGCCUGCCGGAGCACCGCCGCGUGAGUGAUGAAGGUCUUCGGUUCGUAAACCUCUGUUAUUAGGGAAGAACAACUGUGUACGUAACUAUGCACGUAUUGACGGUACCUAAUCAGAAAGCCACGGCUAACUACGUG
This 497-nucleotide ribosomal RNA is filed under the name uncultured bacterium. RNAcentral describes it as "partial 16S ribosomal RNA". It matches the Rfam family "Bacterial small subunit ribosomal RNA", at positions 28 to 507 of the family's 1533-position model. The record is from RNAcentral.